AAACAAAGAGAACAAAGGAAAGAAGGCACACUCCUGUGCUGAGACUGGCCUUGUGUUCUGGAGAAAAGCUUCGACUGCUGACACUGGAGCCGGAUCUGCUGUGGGGGGCGUCCUGCCGGCCUACAGGCUGAAGACCAGGAAUCCUCCAGACCUGCAACACCAGAUUGGAACUGCUGAGUCCUGCAGCCUCAUAGACUGAGCAACUAUAAGAUUCUCAGCCUCUCCAAUGUGGCCCAGCCAUUGUUGGCCCACCCGUAUGCUAUUCUAGCUGACCACCAGGUCAAGAUGGGCGACUCUGGCUUUCACUUCUCCUGGACAAUGAUGAACUGACCUGCUGGACACACCUGACCUUCUCAUUCUGGCUUGACUGAACUCCUGGCGUGGCAGAGAAUUCCUGCUGUGUAGGCAAUGCCUCAACUCUAGUCUUGGUCUGAUGCUGCUGGAAUUUCUGUCCACCUGCCCUUCAUGUCCUUUUCCCCGGGCCUUGAAAAUCAAGUCAGACCCUUGAAACCAUUUUGCCUCCUAAAUCCUGCUUGUAAUGGGACUCUGAUUCUGAAAUGCUUAAGAGCAAGACAGGGCCUGUCCCCUACCUUGGGCUUGGACUUCAUCAGAGCCGGGGCCAGGACCUUGGCAUACACGUGGGAGGAUGAGGGGUGGAAGUGGAGAUGGAACAGGAAGAGGCAGGCGAUGCGGUCAUAGCUACUCCCUCCGGUGACACUCACAGUUCUUCACUUUUUGCCCUCAAUUAAGGCUGCCAAUCUAUGGGAUGGUGCUGCACACAUUCCCCCACCCCCUUUUCAUCUUCCCUGGAAAUGUACCCAGAGGUGCAUCUUACCAAUUUCCUAGGUGUUCUCAGUUCAAUCAAACUUUCGGCAAGGUGGCACAUACCUUUAAUCCCAAUCCUUGUGAGGCAGAGGUGGGUAGCUCUCUGUAAGAUCAAGGCCAGCCUGGUUCACAUAGUGAGUUCCAGGUGGGUUGGGACUAGGGAAAUCCUGUGAAAAAACAAAACAAAGUCAAUCCAAUCAAAGUGAUAAUCAAGAUUAACUAUACCCCAUGUCUGUUGGGAAAAAUUCACUCUGUAAUGCCAAGGUCAUUCUGGCUUCCUCUGAGCAGUGGCCAUGCUGGGUACUGGACAUGAAGCAUCUCUGUGCUCACUCCCACCAGCCCUUUGCUGCUAGACCUAUAACUAGAUUUCAGCCCCCGCAAAGCCUAACAUCUUCAAAUGAAGUUUGUGGCAGUAGGACGGGGGCUUGAUGAUUGUCUCUGAGCCUGGAAUGUUCUGUCCUCCUGGCAGCAGUGUCCUACAACAGCAGUAACACAAAACAGCACCAGACAUGUUCAGCGAAUAUUCUAUGUAUGAAAUGCAAAGCUGUGUCCUCUGCUAUAUCUUCUCUUGGUUUUCCAGAGCCUGAAGACUGAGGCACUGAUGCUUGGAGUUCUUCUGGGCCCAGUUUUAGCCUCAACUGGGUCUCUAAGAGUCUGUUUUCUGUCUUCAGGUAGAACUCACUCAACACAGUCAUGAUUAUCCAAGACGAGGGCUGGUGAUGUAGCUCAGUGGAAGACUGAAUAGCGCCUUCCUUUGUGUUAUUGAUAGGGAAAAGAAAUGCAGCCAUGCACUUAAUGUCACUUUCACGUGUGUCUAACAUUGCUUUAUGUCUGAUUUUAUACUUUAGAAUAUAGUACUCACCUUGAGCGUUUUAUAAGUGCUUACUAAAAUUUGUGUUGAAAAGGGAAAUAACACUAAAAUGGAGAAAGCAAUCUCAAGAAAUAAAUGCCACAGUUAUUUAGUGGAACAU
This is a long non-coding RNA of Nannospalax galili (Upper Galilee mountains blind mole rat), 1796 nucleotides long. RefSeq lists it as uncharacterized. The record is from RefSeq and is a predicted model, not a curated record. The transcript is spliced from 5 exons. NCBI's taxonomy places the organism in Eukaryota, Metazoa, Chordata, Mammalia, Rodentia, Spalacidae.